This 337-nucleotide ribosomal RNA is filed under the name Ruminococcus flavefaciens. RNAcentral's name for it is "partial 16S ribosomal RNA". The record is from RNAcentral. Lineage: Bacteria; Bacillati; Bacillota; Clostridia; Eubacteriales; Oscillospiraceae.
GGAGUCUGGGCCGUGUCUCAGUCCCAAUGUGGCCGGUCAUCCUCUCAGAUCGGCUACCGAUCGUCGCCAUGGUGAGCCGUUACCUCACCAUCUAGCUAAUCAGACGCGAGCCCAUCUUUGAGUGAUAAAUCUUUGAUAUACCUAAGAUGCCUUAAGUAUAUGUCAUGAGGUAUUACCAUCCGUUUCCAGAAGCUAUCCCUCUCUCAAAGGUAGGUUGCUCACGUGUUACUCACCCGUCCGCCACUAAGAAUACUCAGUAAACCAAAUAUUCUCCGUUCGACUUGCAUGUGUUAAGCGUGCCGCCAGCGUUCGUCCUCGAGCCACUGAUCAAACUACU